This is a long non-coding RNA of Alnus glutinosa, 212 nucleotides long. RefSeq lists it as uncharacterized. Lineage: Eukaryota; Viridiplantae; Streptophyta; Magnoliopsida; Fagales; Betulaceae. The transcript is spliced from 3 exons. The record is from RefSeq and is a predicted model, not a curated record.
CCCCCGCCCACCACAGCCCUCGCGUCCGUUCAAGGUACACGUACAAGCUUGCACUACAAAAAUCACUAUAAACAUGGACAAGUCUUGGAUGUCAACACCUAGGGGUACGACACGGUAUAACGAUGGGUGUAGGGCGUUUGUGGCAUUUGCCGUUAGUAAUUGUACGGCCGGCGAUGGAAAAAUUUACUGCCCAUGCAAGUAUUGUCGAAAUA